GACGAACCGUGCGAACGUUAUUCGGAAUCACUGGGCGUAAAGGGUGCGUAGGCGGGGCUUUAAGUCAGGGGUGAAAUCCUGGAGCUCAACUCCAGAACUGCCUUUGAUACUGAAGAUCUUGAGUUCGGGAGAGGUGAGUGGAACUGCGAGUGUAGAGGUGAAAUUCGUAGAUAUUCGCAAGAACACCAGUGGCGAAGGCGGCUCACUGGCCCGAUACUGACGCUGAGGCACGAAAGCGUGGGGAGCAAACAGG
Molecule: ribosomal RNA, 253 nt
Filed under: uncultured bacterium
Lineage: Bacteria
Description: partial 16S ribosomal RNA
Rfam family: Bacterial small subunit ribosomal RNA
Source: RNAcentral